This 70-nucleotide transfer RNA is filed under the name Gavia arctica. RNAcentral describes it as "tRNA-Val". It matches the Rfam family "tRNA". Rfam says of the family: Transfer RNA (tRNA) molecules are approximately 80 nucleotides in length. The record is from RNAcentral. Lineage: Eukaryota; Metazoa; Chordata; Aves; Gaviiformes; Gaviidae.
CAAGAUGUAGCUAAACACAAAGCAUUCAGCUUACACCUGAAAGAUAUCUGCCCCUUACAGAUCAUCUUGA